GACGAACGCUGGCGGCGUGCUUAACACAUGCAAGUCGAACGCUGAAGCUUGGUGCUUGCACUGGGUGGAUGAGUGGCGAACGGGUGAGUAAUACGUGAGUAACCUGCCCUUGACUCUGGGAUAAGCCUGGGAAACUGGGUCUAAUACUGGAUACGACAUGUCACCGCAUGGUGGUGUGUGGAAAGGGUUUUACUGGUUUUGGAUGGGCUCACGGCCUAUCAGCUUGUUGGUGGGGUAAUGGCUCACCAAGGCGACGACGGGUAGCCGGCCUGAGAGGGUGACCGGCCACACUGGGACUGAGACACGGCCCAGACUCCUACGGGAGGCAGCAGUGGGGAAUAUUGCACAAUGGGCGGAAGCCUGAUGCAGCGACGCCGCGUGAGGGAUGACGGCCUUCGGGCUGUAAACCUCUUUCAGCACGGAAGAAGCGAAAGUGACGGUACGUGCAGAAGAAGCGCCGGCUAACUACGUG
Molecule: ribosomal RNA, 472 nt
Filed under: uncultured bacterium
Lineage: Bacteria
Description: partial 16S ribosomal RNA
Rfam family: Bacterial small subunit ribosomal RNA
Source: RNAcentral